UAAAAUAAAUAAAAUUAUUUUAAAAUAAAGUAAAUCAGAGCCUGAGAAAAUAUCUGCAUUAUUAUCUGCGCAAUUUCUGUGACUGGGAAAAAAAAAAGCACUUCUCGUUGCUCCAAGAGAGGAAAAUAAUCACAUUAAUGGAUUUAAGGAUCAUCAUUAGUAUUUGUUUUGAUUUGUGCCGAUUUAAAAAAAAAAAAAGACUAAACAAAAACGAGUCCUUUUUGGACGGGAUUUUAAUUACUGUGAUUAAUGUGCGUGAUCACUAAGAGUAAUGAGAAAUAUAAAAAUGCUCAAAAGCAAAACAAACGGGUGCAUUAUGAUAAUGAGAAUUGUGCUUGGUUUUCAUAAAAAUCGUCUCAAAAUAAUAAUAAUAAUAACAUAAAUGGGCGGAAAAGAUUGUUUAAUACUAAUACUUUUGUUAUUGUCUUAUACUUUCGGUAUUGUUUGGUCAAGAAAAAUAGGCCUGUUUUGUUUAUUUUUUUAAAUCCUAUAAAAAUAAAACAGUAUUUUUCUUUCGAUUUUUGGGUUAAAACGUGAGUCGUGUUACAUGUUUGGCCGAGACUCCUUGUAAUACCAUCAAGAAUUGAUAUUAUUUUCCACUAGGAGGAGCCCCACUCUCUUGUUUGGAAGGGGUUCUGGAUCCAAUCAGCAUCCGUCGGCUGCAGACGCACUCAAAGCGUUCCUGCCAGGCAACUCGACGGAGGUCUCGAAAAGCUUCUACACGUCAGAUGCCUUCACCGUGAAUAUAUCUGUACAAUACAACUGAGAGUUGAACUUACUGAAGCAAUCUAAACUUUCUCAGAUACUUUGUCACCAAAUGCUGCCGUGCUUGUCUCAGGACUACACUGAAAGCUGCUUUGAUUGUGGACUGUCCAUUUGAAUCAACGCCACUGAUGCAUGGAAGUGUCUCUAAUAGAAAUAACUUCGUUUUUUUUCGAUUGAGAAAGUUGGAGAAUGUUUAUGAUGCUUGUAAAACCUCGCUGAGGACAUCUAUUUCAAAUGCUUUGAAAGAUCAUGUUGCACUCACGUGAAACAUGAUUACUUCUGUCGAUGAAGAAGAUCCAAUGGAUGAAGGCUAUGAAGGAUGACGGCCUUUUAUUUUUGAUUAAAGACUUAAUAGCUGUUGAUUCAAACUGAAGGCAAAUAAAACCAAUGAAGUUUGUCGUGUCUGUUUUGCUUUCACGGUACCAAAUGUUACAAUGUUUUGAAGAUGUUCCCUACAUGUUUUGGACACUAUUGAGGAUUUUAUUUCAAUUUGUUUCAAUUUUAAAAAUUCCUUAUCCGAAACCUCUUUAUUUGCAGUUUCUCUGCUCGUAUGUUUUAUCCGUUUUGGAAGAAACCUUUCAGACUGUAUAUAGGCUUAUUUGCUGUUUUCUCUUUGGUUUUCGACAUUUUAUAUCUAUAUAAAAAAUCUAAUGAAAAACCAAGACUGUACAAAGUUUGUUUUUAAUAAAGUGUUUUUGGUCAUA
Long non-coding RNA from Puntigrus tetrazona (Sumatra barb), 1469 nucleotides. RefSeq lists it as uncharacterized. The transcript has 2 exons. NCBI's taxonomy places the organism in Eukaryota, Metazoa, Chordata, Actinopteri, Cypriniformes, Cyprinidae. The record is from RefSeq and is a predicted model, not a curated record.